This 254-nucleotide ribosomal RNA is filed under the name uncultured bacterium. Its description in RNAcentral is "partial 16S ribosomal RNA". It matches the Rfam family "Bacterial small subunit ribosomal RNA", at positions 524 to 776 of the family's 1533-position model. The record is from RNAcentral.
UACGGAGGGAGCUAGCGUUAUUCGGAAUUACUGGGCGUAAAGCGCACGUAGGCGGCUUUGUAAGUUAGGAGGAUGAAGCCCGGAGCUCAACUCCGGAACUGCCUUUAAGACUGCAUCGCUUGAAUCCAGGAGAGGUGAGUGGAAUUCCGAGUGUAGAGGUGAAAUUCGUAGAUAUUCGGAAGAACACCAGUGGCGAAGGCGGCUCACUGGACUGGUAUUGACGCUGAGACGCGAAAGCGUGGGGAGCAAACAGG